AUGUAACCGGACCGGUCCUCUGCCGUCAAACGCAGCGGAUGGGAAUGGGAGAUAUCAUACACCCGAUGUUUAUUUACUUUUGUUGCUUUGGCGGGCCGUCCUCUUAGGCGUCGGCCCCGGCUGAUCGCGCCCGCCAGAGGACCCAAACUCUUUUAUCAGUGAUGUCUGAGUACUAUAUAAUAGUUA
RNAcentral lists this unclassified non-coding RNA (186 nucleotides) under uncultured Helotiales. Its description in RNAcentral is "sequence contains ITS1". Lineage: Eukaryota; Fungi; Ascomycota; Leotiomycetes; Helotiales. The record is from RNAcentral.